This 580-nucleotide ribosomal RNA is filed under the name uncultured fungus. Its description in RNAcentral is "LSU rRNA". It matches the Rfam family "Eukaryotic large subunit ribosomal RNA", at positions 75 to 667 of the family's 3401-position model. Lineage: Eukaryota; Fungi. The record is from RNAcentral.
UUCCCCUAGUAGCGGCGAGCGAAGCGGGAAGAGCUCAAAUUUAUAAUCUGGCACCUUCGGUGUCCGAGUUGUAAUCUCUAGAAGUGUUUUCCGCGUUGGACCGCACACAAGUCUGUUGGAAUACAGCGGCAUAGUGGUGAAACCCCCGUAUAUGGUGCGGACGCCCAGCGCUUUGUGAUACACUUUCAAUGAGUCGAGUUGUUUGGGAAUGCAGCUCAAAUUGGGUGGUAAAUUCCAUCUAAAGCUAAAUAUUGGCGAGAGACCGAUAGCGAACAAGUACCGUGAGGGAAAGAUGAAAAGCACUUUGGAAAGAGAGUUAACAGUACGUGAAAUUGUUGGAAGGGAAACGCUUGAAGUCAGACUUGCUUGCCGGAGCUUGCUUCGGUUUGCAGGCCAGCAUCAGUUUUCCGGGGUGGAUAAUGACGGUUUGAAGGUAGCAGUCUCGGCUGUGUUAUAGCUUUCCGUUGGAUACGCCCUGGGGGACUGAGGAACGCAGCGUGCUUUUUGCGAAAGACUCGUCUUUUUCACGCUUAGGAUGCUGGUGGAAUGGCUUUAAACGACCCGUCUUGAAACACGGACC